CACGGCGCACGGGUGCGUAACACGUGGGCAAUCUGCCCUCCGGUGGGGAAUAACCCCGCGAAAGCGGGGCUAAUUCCGCAUAACAUUCCCUGGACUUUGGUUCGGGGACUCAAAGCAGCAAUGCGCCGGAGGAGGAGCCCGCGCCCGAUUAGCUAGUUGGUGAGGUAACGGCUCACCAAGGCAAUGAUCGGUAGCUGGUCUGAGAGGAUGACCAGCCACACUGGAACUGAGACACGGUCCAGACUCCUACGGGAGGCAGCAGUGGGGAAUCUUGCGCAAUGGGCGAAAGCCUGACGCAGCGACGCCGCGUGGGGGAUGAAGCUUCUCGGAGUGUAAACCCCUUUCGACCGGGACGAAUGCCCGCAAGGGAGUGACGGUACCGGUAGAAGAAGCCCCGGCUAACUACGUGCCAGCAGCCGCGGUAAGACGUAGGGGGCCAGCGUUGUUCGGAAUUACUGGGUGUAAAGGGUUCGUAGGCGGUGUGGCAAGUCGGGAGUGAAAUCUCUGGGCUUAACUCAGAGGCUGCUUCCGAAACUGCUGUGCUAGAGUGCGGGAGAGGCGCGUGGAAUUGCAGGUGUAGCGGUGAAAUGCGUAGAUAUCUGCAGGAACACCCGUGGCGAAAGCGGCGCGCUGGACCGUUACUGACGCUGAGGAACGAAAGCUAGGGGAGCAAACAGGAUUAGAUACCCUGGUAGUCCUAGCCCUAAACGAUCAGGACUUGGGGUGCCUUCCGUUCGGAAGUCGUCCCGGAGCUAACGCGUUAAGUCCUGCACCUGGGGAGUACGGUCGCAAGACUGAAACUCAAAGGAAUUGACGGGGGCCCGCACAAGCGGUGGAACAUGUGGUUCAAUUCGA
Molecule: ribosomal RNA, 855 nt
Filed under: uncultured bacterium
Lineage: Bacteria
Description: bacterial SSU rRNA
Rfam family: Bacterial small subunit ribosomal RNA
Source: RNAcentral